AUUUCUAUUCUUUUUUGCACUUCCGUCAGGUGAUUUCAAGACAUCUAGCGGUCGAUAUUGCAAGUUUCUAAAUUUAUACUUAGAUGGCGUUAGCAGUUCGGGAAUGGAGAAAAACAAAAGUUUCCCUCAUUUUUUCCAACCGUGUGUCGUUCGUGCGUUCUUACGGUUUCUCUCCUUUCGACAAUAUUCGUACACAAACACUCACAUACAUUGUAUGUGUGCAUGUUAAAACAAGUCCACGUACCGUUGGCACACUCACACACAGUAUGUGUUCCAUGAAAAAACGAUAAAAAAGAAGACCUUCACGUGGUGGACUGACCGACUGCCUUGAAUUUUUUUGUCAUCAAACCGGGAUAUGAUUCCAACUAGGCAUUCCACCUUUCCUCGAUAUCCGGCUUUACUUUUUGGGGCUGGGCACCAGUCCGUAUCGAGGAGGCGGAAUUACGACAGACAGCACGCAGCCAACGGGAAAAAAAAAGAGGAACAUUCGCCCAGCUGACAUUCCGACCCCAAAUCAUGCACAUUCUUUAAGGAAGCGAGAAUCUAUAUCAGAAGACCUUUUUUUUCCUGCUACCGUCAUCCGGCCGUGGAAUCGAUACAGUUACAGGGAAAUGAAAAUGAGCUUCCUCCCCUUUUAGACAUGUAUCGUGUCCCUGGUAAUCUCUUCCAUGAGUGCCAAAGACACAGGAAAGAAACGUGUCAAACACAAUGGCAAAAGUUUUUUCCUUUUGUCACAAGAGGCUUCGUCGUCAUCUAGCUGUAAUCUCACUUUGGAACCGUGUAAUCGAUUUAGAGCUCAAGAAAUUCCUUGGAACUGAAAAUGUGAUUAUUCUGCAGACGAAAACUGCUCGAUUUUUUGUUUUGAAAAAUUUGGAAAGAGCUCCAUGAAAACGACGAGGCCUCUGGGACCCACAAAAAAAGGAAGUAUUAUGAACGACUGUUUAUAUUUGAACCAGCAGCAGCUCAGAAUAUGGGGCUUUAACAAUAGCUCUCAGCAAAAGAGUUCCUCGCCUUUUGCACCCCUCACAACUCAGUCAUUCAAAAAUGUCGGUUUGGAGUUUUUCGAGUGAUGAGAACUCACAAACGGAGGGGGGUUCGGUCCGAUGAAUAGCCUUAGCACGCUCCAGCUGGCGAUCUAUAUAUACGAGACAGAAGGAGAGGCUCGUGUUGCUGUGUGAACAUUGUCAAAAGGUAGAUAACAAAAUCCCGUGCCUAAUUAGCGCGUUACUGUUACACAAGAAGAAAAGUGAGAACCUCAAAGUCAAAGAAAUAUCACUCGUCAGAGUCUUUAAUUUGUCUGACUCUUGGGGUCAGCAGUAUCCAGCUGUUUUGGCGCUAAGAAAAUAAAUGCUUUCUUACACAAA
Molecule: long non-coding RNA, 1364 nt
Organism: Daphnia carinata
Lineage: Eukaryota; Metazoa; Arthropoda; Branchiopoda; Diplostraca; Daphniidae
Exons: 2
Source: RefSeq, a predicted model, not a curated record